AGACGCGCGGGGAUGAGGCGGGCGGCCACCGAGCGCGCGCCUGGGCUCCGGCAGUGACCGAGGCGAAUCUCGGGGCCGCUCCGGGCCCGCAGGCACAACCCGAUCUCCCAGAGAAGGAGAAGUGCCUGGCGUGGACUAUAACUUUCUGACUGUGAAGGAGUUCUUGGACCUCGAGCAGAGCGGGACUCUUCUGGAAGUCGGCACCUAUGAAGGAAACUAUUAUGGGACACCCAAGCCUCCUAGCCAGCCAGUCAGUGGGAAAGUGAUCACGACGGAUGCCUUGCACAGCCUUCAGUCUGGCUCUAAGCAGUCGACCCCGAAGCGAACCAAGUCCUACAAUGAUAUGCAAAAUGCUGGCAUAGUCCAUGCGGAGAACGAGGAGGAGGAUGACGUUCCUGAAAUGAACAGCAGCUUUACAGCCGGUUCUGGUGAACAAGACGAGCACACUCUCCAAGAAACAGCAUUACCACCUGUGAAUAGUAGCAUCAUUGCUGCUCCCAUCACGGACCCUUCUCAGAAGUUCCCUCAAUACCUACCUCUUUCUGCAGAGGAUAAUUUAGGUCCUCUACCUGAAAACUGGGAGAUGGCCUAUACCGAAAAUGGAGAAGUCUAUUUUAUAGA
RNAcentral lists this small RNA (621 nucleotides) under Pongo abelii (Sumatran orangutan). RNAcentral describes it as "processed transcript". Lineage: Eukaryota; Metazoa; Chordata; Mammalia; Primates; Hominidae. The record is from RNAcentral.